ACUACUACAGGGUAACAACACUACUACUACAGGGUAAUAACACUACUACAGGGUAAUAACACUACUACAGGGUAGUAGCACUACUACAGGUUAGUAACACUACUACAGGUUAGUAACACUACUACAGGUUAGUAACACUACUACAGGGUAGUAACACUACUACAGGUUAGUAACACUACUAGUUACUACAGGUUAGUAACACUACUACAGGGUAAUAGCACUACUACAGGGUAAUAACACUACUAGCUACUACAGGGUAAUAACACUACUAGCUACUACAGGUUAGUAACACUACUACAGGGUAAUAACACUACUAGCUACUACAGGGUAAUAACACUACUAGCUACUACAGGGUAAUAACACUACUAACUACUACAGGGUAGUAACACUACUACAGGGUAAUAACACUACUA
This is a long non-coding RNA of Oncorhynchus tshawytscha (Chinook salmon), 413 nucleotides long. Lineage: Eukaryota; Metazoa; Chordata; Actinopteri; Salmoniformes; Salmonidae. The record is from Ensembl.